This 400-nucleotide unclassified non-coding RNA is filed under the name soil metagenome. Its description in RNAcentral is "partial contains 5.8S ribosomal RNA, internal transcribed spacer 2, and large subunit ribosomal RNA". The stretch from base 1 to 122 matches the Rfam family "5.8S ribosomal RNA", at positions 35 to 154 of the family's 154-position model. The record is from RNAcentral.
GAUGAAGAACGUAGCGAAAUGCAAUACUUGGUGUGAAUUGCAGAAUCCCGUGAACCAUCGAGUCUUUGAACGCAAGUUGCGCCUCAAGCCAUUAGGUUGAGGGCACGUCUGCCUGGGCGUCACAUAUCGUUGCCUGAUGCCAGUUUCCUCGUGAUGGGUGACUGUGCAGGGCGAAUGAUGGCUUCCCGUGAGCAUUGUUGCCUCAUGGUUGGUUGAAAAUUGAGUCCUUGGUAGGGAGCGCCGUGAUAGAUGGUGGUUGAGUGACGAACGAGACCCAAUCAUGUGAGACCCCUACCGAAUUUGGCCUUCAUGACCCACAUGCGUCUUUGGAACGCUCAUGACGAGACCUCAGGUCAGGCGGGGCUACCCGCUGAGUUUAAGCAUAUCAAUAAGCGGAGGA